This 65-nucleotide transfer RNA is filed under the name Rhagoletis cerasi. RNAcentral describes it as "tRNA-His". Lineage: Eukaryota; Metazoa; Arthropoda; Insecta; Diptera; Tephritidae. The record is from RNAcentral.
AUUUAAAUAGUUUAUUUAAAAUAUUGAUUUGUGGUGUCAAUGAUAUGAUUUUGUCAUUUUAGAUC